RNAcentral lists this ribosomal RNA (429 nucleotides) under Verrucomicrobiota bacterium. RNAcentral's name for it is "Verrucomicrobia bacterium partial 16S ribosomal RNA". It matches the Rfam family "Bacterial small subunit ribosomal RNA", at positions 355 to 776 of the family's 1533-position model. Lineage: Bacteria; Pseudomonadati; Verrucomicrobiota. The record is from RNAcentral.
UAGGGAAUCUUCGGCAAUGGGGGGAACCCUGACCGAGCAACGCCGCGUGAGUGAAGAAGGUUUUCGGAUCGUAAAGCUCUGUUGUUAAGGAAGAACGAGUUUGAGAAUUGAAAGUUCAUGCUGUUACGGUACUUAACCAGAAAGGGACGGCUAUCUACGUUCCAGCAGCCGCGGUAAUACGUAGUUCCCGAGCGUUGUCCGGAUUUAUUGGGCGUAAAGCGAGCGCAGGCGGUUAGAAAAGUCUGAAGUGAAAGGCAGUGGCUCAACCAUUGUAGGCUUUGGAAACUGAUUAACUUGAGUGCAGAAGGGGAGAGUGGAAUUCCAGGUGUAGCGGUGAAAUGCGUAGAUAUAUGGAGGAACACCGGUGGCGAAAGCGGCUCUCUGGUCUGUAACUGACGCUGAGGCUCGAAAGCGUGGGGAGCGAACAGG